Molecule: ribosomal RNA, 327 nt
Filed under: uncultured bacterium
Lineage: Bacteria
Description: bacterial SSU rRNA
Rfam family: Bacterial small subunit ribosomal RNA
Source: RNAcentral
GACGAACGCUGGCGGCGCGCCUAACACAUGCAAGUCGAACGGAGUUAUUUCAGCAGAAGCUUUCGGGUGGACGCAGGGAUAACUUAGUGGCGAACGGGUGAGUAACACGUGAGGAACCUGCCCUGGAGUGGGGGACAACAGUUGGAAACGACUGCUAAUACCGCAUAAGCCCACGGCCCGGCAUCGGGUUGAGGGAAAAGGAUUUAUUCGCUUCAGGAUGGACUCGCGUCCAAUUAGCUAGUUGGUGAGGUAACGGCCCACCAAGGCGACGAUUGGUAGCCGGACUGAGAGGUUGAACGGCCACAUUGGGACUGAGACACGGCCCAG